Molecule: unclassified non-coding RNA, 238 nt
Filed under: Hevea brasiliensis (rubber tree)
Lineage: Eukaryota; Viridiplantae; Streptophyta; Magnoliopsida; Malpighiales; Euphorbiaceae
Source: RNAcentral
GUCUUCAUUAGGGGUAUAAACGAACCAAGUUGUUCGCGAGCUACUCGAGGCUCGACUCUAUAAAAGGUCAGCUUGGUUUGGUUCGUUUUUUAAACGAGCCGAGCUCGAGCUCGAAUUUUAGGUUCGUUUAAUAAUGAGCCGAACUCGAGCUUUGCAGUAUUCAACUUGAGCUCGAGUUUGAGCUUAGCUCGUUUAUAGGCUCACGAGCUGGCUCGUUAAACAGGCUCGUGAGUACACG